RNAcentral lists this ribosomal RNA (503 nucleotides) under uncultured bacterium. Its description in RNAcentral is "bacterial SSU rRNA". It matches the Rfam family "Bacterial small subunit ribosomal RNA", at positions 28 to 526 of the family's 1533-position model. The record is from RNAcentral.
GAUGAACGCUAGCGGCAGGCUUAACACAUGCAAGUCGAACGGUAACAUUGGUGCUUGCACCAGAUGACGAGUGGCGCACGGGUGCGUAACGCGUAUGCAAUCUACCUUUUACUGAAGAAUAGCCCAGAGAAAUUUGGAAUAAUCCUUCAUAAUAUCAUUUAUCAGCAUUGAUUUUUGAUUAAAGCUCCGGCGGUAAAAGAUGAGCAUGCGUUCUAUUAGCUAGUAGGUGAGGUAACGGCUCACCUAGGCUACGAUAGAUAGGGGCCCUGAGAGGGGGAUCCCCCACACUGGUACUGAGACACGGACCAGACUCCUACGGGAGGCAGCAGUGAGGAAUAUUGGACAAUGGAGGCAACUCUGAUCCAGCCAUGCCGCGUGCAGGAUGACUGCCCUAUGGGUUGUAAACUGCUUUUAUAUAGGAAGAAACACUCCCACGUGUGGGGGCUUGACGGUACUAUAUGAAUAAGGAUCGGCUAACUCCGUGCCAGCCGCCGCCGUAACAC